RNAcentral lists this ribosomal RNA (604 nucleotides) under uncultured Gammaproteobacteria bacterium. RNAcentral describes it as "bacterial SSU rRNA". It matches the Rfam family "Bacterial small subunit ribosomal RNA", at positions 55 to 648 of the family's 1533-position model. Lineage: Bacteria; Pseudomonadati; Pseudomonadota; Gammaproteobacteria. The record is from RNAcentral.
AUGCAAGUCGAACGGUAACAGGAAACAGCUUGCUGUUUCGCUGACGAGUGGCGGACGGGUGAGUAAUGUCUGGGAAACUGCCUGAUGGAGGGGGAUAACUACUGGAAACGGUAGCUAAUACCGCAUAACGUCGCAAGACCAAAGAGGGGGACCUUCGGGCCUCUUGCCAUCGGAUGUGCCCAGAUGGGAUUAGCUAGUAGGUGGGGUAACGGCUCACCUAGGCGACGAUCCCUAGCUGGUCUGAGAGGAUGACCAGCCACACUGGAACUGAGACACGGUCCAGACUCCUACGGGAGGCAGCAGUGGGGAAUAUUGCACAAUGGGCGCAAGCCUGAUGCAGCCAUGCCGCGUGUAUGAAGAAGGCCUUCGGGUUGUAAAGUACUUUCAGCGGGGAUGAAGGGAGUAAAGUUAAUACCUUUGCUCAUUGACGUUACCCGCAGAAGAAGCACCGGCUAACUCCGUGCCAGCAGCCGCGGUAAUACGGAGGGUGCAAGCGUUAAUUGGAAUUACUGGGCGUAAAGCGCACGCAGGCGGUUUGUUAAGUCAGAUGUGAAAUCCCCGGGCUCAACCUGGGAACUGCAUCUGAUACUGGCAAGUUUGAGUC